CCAGUGUUUGCCGAGGCAAGGCUGUCGAGGUCGUCAGGUGAUCGAUCCGUGCGGGUGUUGUACACACUGCGCCAAGACAAAGGGGCAGGUGUGCGGCGGGCCGAGCUGGAGAUACGGUAACUGUGAUCCGGAUUUGGUUUGCGCUCUUGUCGUGGGGCUCGAUUCGGCCAGACCUCCACAGACGGGCGUGUGCAAAGUGAUACCAAAACAUCUAAAAAAACACUUCCCCGUUCCUCUUUGUCCCGUUCAAAACGGUUGCAACGUGCACGUUGGGAAUUGUGACUGUUAUUCAGACCAGUCCUGUGACUCACCGUUCAGUUACAGCACCUACGAAGCCUGCAAUAAAGUUCUAAUGGCUUUCUUGAUGUAUGACUUUUAUGCCAACGACAUGGAAACGCCUCCCAAACCCGAGGUACCUGCAUAUGAGUGUAAGGAGUGGAGCUGUGAGGUUCAGGCCUGCGAGUGUGUGUGUCAAUAUAGAAAAUGUGUCUACAGGUUAGCUCCACUUAACGAGGCCGCCUGCUGCGACGUACUGAGUAAGAACGCAUCUUUUCCCGCACGAAGUUGAUUAAUAGUGAUACUUUGAGGUUAGUCUUAAACAGCUCACUCACACUGUGACUUGUUGAUUGGAAAUUCUCUCUCUCUCUCGCUCUCUCUCUCUCUCUCUCUCUCCCUGCCUCUCUCAGAGGAAUCUGGGUGCCUUAAUACGUCGUGUCCUGGGACUCCCACUCUGGCUUGUCCGGCAGACUCCUUCAUUAGUGAGCCCCACACCGAACCCGGUCACUGCUGCCCUGUUGUGCCUGCUAUGUGCACCUGCGACUUCCAGACCUGCACUCCAAAACCCACAUACUGCCCUAACCGCGGACUUCCCCGACUCCUUGUGAAGGGAAACGGCCACCCGGGGACCUGCUGCGACCGCUACGAGUGUGUGAAAGAAGGAGAUUAAUUAGCAUGUGUAAUAUAAUACACACUUUUAUCUUAUUAUCCUUGUGAAACUAACCGUAACCUCACUAACCGUAACCUUAACCUCAGUAACCAAAAGGAAACAUUUCGGCUCUGGUAGAUUUAUUUUUCAUUUCAGGCAAACACCUUGCUGUUUCAUGUAAUGCUCAGAAUGCUUGAUGUGCAAAAAAAUCUGGAAUGUACUCAACAAUAAAAGAAAUAUUUACAGGAAGAAAU
Molecule: long non-coding RNA, 1179 nt
Organism: Ictalurus punctatus (channel catfish)
Lineage: Eukaryota; Metazoa; Chordata; Actinopteri; Siluriformes; Ictaluridae
Source: Ensembl